GGGUUGUGAGGUUAAGCGAACAAGCGUACACGGUGGAUGCCCUGGCAGUCAGAGGCGAUGAAGGACGUGCUAAUCUGCGAAAAGCGCCGGUAAGGUGAUAUGAACCGUUAUAACCGGCGAUGUCCGAAUGGGGAAACCCGGUGCACUUCGGUGCAUCAUCGUUAGCUGAAUACAUAGGCUAACGAGGCGAACCGGGGGAACUGAAACAUCUAAGUACCCCGAGGAAAAGAAAUCAACCGAGAUUCCCCCAGUAGCGGCGAGCGAACGGGGAACAGCCCAGAGCCUGAAUCAGCUUGUGUGUCAGUGGAACGGUCUGGAAAGGCCGGCGAUACAGGGUGACAGCCCCGUACACGAAGGCACACAGGCUGUGAGCUCGAUGAGUAGGGCGGGACACGUGAUAUCCUGUCUGAAGAUGGGGGGACCAUCCUCCAAGGCUAAAUACUCCUGACUGACCGAUAGUGAACCAGUACCGUGAGGGAAAGGCGAAAAGAACCCCGGCGAGGGGAGUGAAACAGAACCUGAAACCGUGUACGUACAAGCAGUGGGAGCCUUCGUAAGAGGGUGACUGCGUACCUUUUGUAUAAUGGGUCAGCGACUUAUAUUCUGUAGCAAGGUUAACCGUAUAGGGGAGCCGAAGGGAAACCGAGUCUUAAUUGGGCGUUAAGUUGCAGGGUAUAGACCCGAAACCCGGUGAUCUAGCCAUGGGCAGGUUGAAGGUUGGGUAACACUAACUGGAGGACCGAACCGACUAAUGUUGAAAAAUUAGCGGAUGACCUGUGGCUGGGGGUGAAAGGCCAAUCAAACCGGGAGAUAGCUGGUUCUCCCCGAAAGCUAUUUAGGUAGCGCCUCGUGAACUCAUCUCCGGGGGUAGAGCACUGUUUCGGCUAGGGGGCCAUCCCGGCUUACCAACCCGAUGCAAACUGCGAAUACCGGAGAAUGUUAUCACGGGAGACACACGGCGGGUGCUAACGUCCGUCGUGAAGAGGGAAACAACCCAGACCGCCAGCUAAGGUCCCAAAGUCAUGGUUAAGUGGGAAACGAUGUGGGAAGGCCCAGACAGCCAGGAUGUUGGCUUAGAAGCAGCCAUCAUUUAAAGAAAGCGUAAUAGCUCACUGGUCGAGUCGGCCUGCGCGGAAGAUGUAACGGGGCUAAACCAUGCACCGAAGCUGCGGCAGCGACACUAUGUGUUGUUGGGUAGGGGAGCGUUCUGUAAGCCUGUGAAGGUGUGCUGUGAGGCAUGCUGGAGGUAUCAGAAGUGCGAAUGCUGACAUAAGUAACGAUAAAGCGGGUGAAAAGCCCGCUCGCCGGAAGACCAAGGGUUCCUGUCCAACGUUAAUCGGGGCAGGGUGAGUCGACCCCUAAGGCGAGGCCGAAAGGCGUAGUCGAUGGGAAACAGGUUAAUAUUCCUGUACUUGGUGUUACUGCGAAGGGGGGACGGAGAAGGCUAUGUCGGCCGGGCGACGGUUGUCCCGGUUUAAGCGUGUAGGCUGACUUUCCAGGCAAAUCCGGAAAGUUAAGGCUGAGGCGUGAUGACGAGGCACCACGGUGCUGAAGUGACAAAUGCCCUGCUUCCAGGAAAAGCCUCUAAGCAUCAGGUAACAUCAAAUCGUACCCCAAACCGACACAGGUGGUCAGGUAGAGAAUACCAAGGCGCUUGAGAGAACUCGGGUGAAGGAACUAGGCAAAAUGGUGCCGUAACUUCGGGAGAAGGCACGCUGACAUGUAGGUGAAGCCCCUGCGGGUGGAGCUGAAGUCAGUCGAAGAUACCAGCUGGCUGCAACUGUUUAUUAAAAACACAGCACUGUGCAAACACGAAAGUGGACGUAUACGGUGUGACGCCUGCCCGGUGCCGGAAGGUUAAUUGAUGGGGUUAUCGCAAGAGAAGCUCCUGAUCGAAGCCCCGGUAAACGGCGGCCGUAACUAUAACGGUCCUAAGGUAGCGAAAUUCCUUGUCGGGUAAGUUCCGACCUGCACGAAUGGCGUAAUGAUGGCCAGGCUGUCUCCACCCGAGACUCAGUGAAAUUGAACUCGCUGUGAAGAUGCAGUGUACCCGCGGCAAGACGGAAAGACCCCGUGAACCUUUACUACAGCUUGACACUGAACAUUGAGCCUUGAUGUGUAGGAUAGGUGGGAGGCUUUGAAGCGUGGACGCCAGUCUGCGUGGAGCCGACCUUGAAAUACCACCCUUUAAUGUUUGAUGUUCUAACCUGGCGCCGUGAUCCGGCGUGGGGACAGUGUCUGGUGGGUAGUUUGACUGGGGCGGUCUCCUCCCAAAGUGUAACGGAGGAGCACGAAGGUCAGCUAAUCCUGGUCGGACAUCAGGAGGUUAGUGCAAUGGCAUAAGCUGGCUUGACUGCGAGAGUGACGGCUCGAGCAGGUGCGAAAGCAGGUCAUAGUGAUCCGGUGGUUCUGUAUGGAAGGGCCAUCGCUCAACGGAUAAAAGGUACUCCGGGGAUAACAGGCUGAUACCGCCCAAGAGUUCAUAUCGACGGCGGUGUUUGGCACCUCGAUGUCGGCUCAUCACAUCCUGGGGCUGAAGUAGGUCCCAAGGGUAUGGCUGUUCGCCAUUUAAAGUGGUACGCGAGCUGGGUUUAGAACGUCGUGAGACAGUUCGGUCCCUAUCUGCCGUGGGCGCUGGAGAAUUGAGGGGGGCUGCUCCCAGUACGAGAGGACCGGAGUGGACGCAUCACUGGUGUUCGGGUUGUCAUGCCAAUGGCACUGCCCGGUAGCUAAAUGCGGAAGAGAUAAGUGCUGAAAGCAUCUAAGCACGAAACUUGCCCCGAGAUGAGUUCUCCCUGAGACUAUAAGUCUCCUGAAGGAACGUUGAAGACGACGACGUUGAUAGGCCGGGUGUGUAAGCGCAGCGAUGCGUUGAGCUAACCGGUACUAAUGAACCGUGAGGCUUAACCUUACAACGCCAAAGAAGU
This 2927-nucleotide ribosomal RNA is filed under the name Cronobacter sakazakii. RNAcentral describes it as "23S ribosomal RNA". It matches the Rfam family "Bacterial large subunit ribosomal RNA". Lineage: Bacteria; Pseudomonadati; Pseudomonadota; Gammaproteobacteria; Enterobacterales; Enterobacteriaceae. The record is from RNAcentral.